RNAcentral lists this small RNA (643 nucleotides) under pig gut metagenome. The record is from RNAcentral.
AUAAUAAUGGCGCAGUAUCCUAGUCAAUGCUGCUGGCUCCCAGGAAGGGCCUAAAAAUCCUUUAAAGGGCAUAACUGUGAAACCCAUGGUGCCUGCUUCUUACGCCCAGUUUGGGGUGGGUGCUGAGGGAAGGCGUAGCAAUUACGCCUGCGGAGGAAGGGCGGCCUUCAAUGGCAUGAAGUCCCCGACCCUGCCUUUGCGGAGACCUGUUAUUGUGCAGGAGCGUACUCCCCGCGUGGUAAGCGACUCCUGUACGAGACAGGAUGUGAACCUGUAUUGCGGUGCGAAAGAGGCUCGCCUCCCAGCGCUGUGUGCAGAGUAGCCUGCCUUGCGUGAACAGAUCGGGAUUGCGGUGUCAGGCGCACAGACCUCUGGCCGGAGGCGAAGUGCGAUAUUGCUGCAUGAAAGCCUGUUUGCAAAAGAGGAUAAGAGUCAGUUUGCGUUGUUGUGGAAAUCACCUAGGCUGUCUUUUAAAGAGCAGAUAAGGGAUUGCAGUACGGACUAAGUGGCAAUCGGGUCGCUUUCUUGGCAACGGGAAGACGGACGCUUUCAAGGGAAACCACUUCACUGGCGACGGGGAGCAGUGUCCGGGGAAAUCCUACCCGACCUAAGCCGUAAGCUUAAUCUUAUCUGCUGCCAUUAG